GUGGGGAAUUUUUCGCAAUGGGGGAAACCCUGACGAAGCAACGCCGCGUGGAGGAUGAAGGCCUUCGGGUCGUAAACUCCUGUCGACCGGGACGAACGUAGCGGGGGCUAAUAUCCCCUGCUAUCGACUGUACCGGUGGAGGAAGCCACGGCUAACUCUGUGCCAGCAGCCGCGGUAAUACAGAGGUGGCAAGCGUUGUUCGGAAUUACUGGGCGUAAAGGGCGCGUAGGCGGCCUUGUAAGUCCUGUGUGAAAUCCCCCGGCUCAACUGGGGAACUGCACAGGAGACUGCUUGGCUUGAGUUCGGGAGAGGGAAGCGGAAUUCCGGGUGUAGCGGUGAAAUGCGUAGAUAUCCGGAGGAACACCGGUGGCGAAGGCGGCUUCCUGGACCGACACUGACGCUGAGGCGCGAAAGCCAGGGGAGCAAACGGGAUUAGAAACCCGAGUAGUCC
This 451-nucleotide ribosomal RNA is filed under the name uncultured bacterium. RNAcentral describes it as "bacterial SSU rRNA". It matches the Rfam family "Bacterial small subunit ribosomal RNA", at positions 354 to 796 of the family's 1533-position model. The record is from RNAcentral.